GCCCAGGAGUUCAAGGCCACGGUGAGCCAGGAACUCACCACUGCACUUUAGCCUGAGCGACAAAGAGAUAACCCAUCUCUUAAAAACAACAGCAACAAAACAACAAACAAACCAGAGAUACACGUGAAACGUCAGCCAACAGGGUGGUAGAUUAAUCUCACUGGCUUGGGCCUGGGUCCUGUGCCAUGUACUCACGUUUUGAUUUUUGGCAAGUCACAUAAUCUCCUUGGCCCUCGUUUUUGUUAGUGAAAAGUGGAGAUAAGAUCUGUCCCGGCUACUUGACUGAGCCAUGGAGGAAUCAUGUGCAAUUUGGAAGUGCUCUGGAAAGUAUACUCUGGUCAUCUUACAGACCAAUGAUGCGAGCUCAGAGUCAAUAGCAUCCUUCUCUAAACAGGAGGUCAUGAGUAGCUUUCUGCCAGAGGGAGGGUGUUACGAGCUGCUCACUGUGAUAGGCAAAGGAUUUGAGGACCUG
RNAcentral lists this small RNA (472 nucleotides) under Pan troglodytes (chimpanzee). Its description in RNAcentral is "processed transcript". Lineage: Eukaryota; Metazoa; Chordata; Mammalia; Primates; Hominidae. The record is from RNAcentral.